CCCUUAGAUGUUCUGGGCCGCACGCGUGCUACACUGAGUGGAUCAGCGGGUCAGGUUGCGCGAAAGUGUUUCCUAAUCUUGAAAUCCGCUCGUGAUGGGGAUUGACGGUUGCAAUUUUCCGUCAUGAACGAGGAAUACCUUGUAAGCGCGGGUCAUCAUCCCGCGCUGAAUACGUCCCUGCCCUUUGUACACACCGCCCGUCGCUCCUACCGAUUGAGUGGUCCGGUGAGGCUUUGGGAUCUGAGCGGAAAGAGCGUUUCGCUGUUUCAGCUCGGAAAACUCAGUCGAACCUUAUCAUUUAGAGGAAGGAGAAGUCGUAACA
Molecule: ribosomal RNA, 322 nt
Filed under: uncultured eukaryote
Lineage: Eukaryota
Description: partial 18S ribosomal RNA
Rfam family: Eukaryotic small subunit ribosomal RNA
Source: RNAcentral